Spinacia oleracea (spinach) is the source of this 1055-nucleotide long non-coding RNA. RefSeq lists it as uncharacterized. The record is from RefSeq and is a predicted model, not a curated record. The transcript has 3 exons. NCBI's taxonomy places the organism in Eukaryota, Viridiplantae, Streptophyta, Magnoliopsida, Caryophyllales, Amaranthaceae.
CCUUUUUCCCAUUCAACUCCAUUUUCGAACCCUAGGUCUCAUCUUCUCUCCCCUUCGAAAAUUUUGAUCCUAUCCGAGGUAUCUCCUUCGUUUGACUUCAAAGGAAUUCCAUGUAUUUUUCUUCUUUUCUUCCCUCAGUUUAUGAGUUUUUGGAAUUUUUUAGGUUUGUAUUCAAAUUUCGAAUUUUAGGGGGUUUUGGUGUUUCAUAUUAGGUUUUCGUACUAAUCUCACCUCACAGGAGAGAGCUCUACAUAAGGUCUCUUUUUCUUACUGCAUCAGGCAACUAAAGAGGCCCCUAACAUGGUCCAAGCAGAUGAUAAUUUCAGCAUAAUUGUUGUUUGUGAAGGUCGGUCAUCUACGAGAACAUGAUAGCCAUCAGGUUAGAAGGGCUUGGCCCGGGGAAAUAUUUGUUUAAACUCAUAGCCUCGUGGUCAAGUUUCAGCAUCAAAAAUUAUUUAUUGCCCGGAACUGAGAUCUGAAAAUGAGGCCCUUGACAUUAUCAAUAAGCUAGAGGCUGCAGCACUAGCAUAGAGAGAAAGAAUCAAACAACAAGUCAUUGGCAUCAAGACUCCUGUCCGAACAUCUUGGCCCUUUAUGAAGGAGCCAACACUCGAGGUUGGUAAGGCGGAAGUACUGUUAUUUUCCGUAGAUGCACUUCUCUGUCAGUUGAAGAUGAGGCGUCCUUACCUUCCUCACACCCUCAAUGUCACAUGAAUAUAGUAUGGCAACGUGGUAAGGUUGGUACUAUAACUGGAUACAAUGAUUUCUAAUAAUUUGAUCCAUGUAAUGACCAAUAAGAGUUAUGUUCUCUGAGUAUGUUAUUUCUCGUAGUUUAUCCUUUAUCAAGAAAAAUCUUAAAAUUAGUAAUUAUGUUGUUCAGAAGCAGAAACCAAAUAAGGCUACUAUGCCUUUGUGAAAUUAGGAAAUGGCUUUUUGAGAAGUAGGAAACAGAAUUUCAUAAAAUUUGAAAUAUGAUAGAUAUGAUAGAUAUGAAGUAUGAAGUAUUACAAAUUUACAAUUAUUGAGUUACAUUGCAUAUUAUUAGUUAUCUUUUA